AGAGCGAACGCUGGCGGCAGGCCUAAUACAUGCAAGUCGAACGGAUCCUUCGGGAUUAGUGGCGGACGGGUGAGUAACACGUGGGAACGUACCCUUUGGUUCGGAACAACUCAGGGAAACUUGAGCUAAUACCGAAUGUGCCCUUCGGGGAAAAGAUUUAUCGCCAUUGGAGCGGCCCGCGUCUGAUUAGCUAGUUGGUAGGGUAAAGGCCUACCAAGGCUACGAUCAGUAGCUGGUCUGAGAGGAUGAUCAGCCACACUGGGACUGAGACACGGCCCAGACUCCUACGGGAGGCAGCAGUAGGGAAUCUUGCGCAAUGGGCGAAAGCCUGACGCAGCCAUGCCGCGUGAAUGAUGAAGGUCUUAGGAUUGUAAAAUUCUUUCAGCGGGGACGAUAAUGACGGUACCCGCAGAAGAACGCCCGGCUAACUUCGUGCCAGCAGUCGC
Molecule: ribosomal RNA, 446 nt
Filed under: uncultured bacterium
Lineage: Bacteria
Description: SSU rRNA
Rfam family: Bacterial small subunit ribosomal RNA
Source: RNAcentral